CUCUCUCUCCCUCUCUACUCUCACUAUUUUCUUUUCAAUCCAUCAUGGAAGAACACUCCAAAGCUUCUAAACACAUAGAUCCACCAUCACCAUUCCUAGAGCUAGCCUUCAAUCACCAAGAAUCAAGAGAAUGAUCAAGCUAGAGUUUCCAAACCCAAGUGGAUCAAAGAGUUCGCCAUUUUCUUAAAUAUUGAGGGUAAGUGGAUCAACCUUAAGAUUCCUUAAAUCUACCUCCAUUUCUUGAUGUUUUGAUGGAAGAAAACAAGAAAAUCAAACCCCUCCAUCAUUUCUCUAAUUUUCGAGAAUUGGGGGUAUUUUUACCCUUCAAAUAUUUUCACUUUCUUUUCUUAAAUCGAGGCAAUAAUUAUGUAAUGAGAACCUAUGAGUUGAUAUCCAUGAGUUUUUAAAAGGAUUAGAAAGGAUUUUGAAUUUUCAAAGAGUUUAGUUUGCUAAAAUUUGGGAAGUUUUGAUUGGUGAUGAGAUUUGAUGAAUUGAUGUCUUAUUCAUGCUAUUAAAUGACUCAAUUUGAUUAAUCUAAGGUUGAGUUAAUGAUUUAUGCAUGUUUGUAAAUUUUCAAAAAGUUUAGUUAGAUAUAAAAUAGGGCUUUUUGAUUUAUGUGCUAAUUAUUUGAAUUGGCUAAGGAUAAUUGAUAAUAAGCAUGAUAGUAAUGAUAGUUAAAGGUUAAUUUCGCUAAUUGUUGAUUAUAUGUGAAAUUGCUUGAGUUUAGUUUACUAGGAUUUGGGUAUUUUUGAAUUAUGAGAUCAAUGUUUGGAUUAAUGAUGUCUAUAUGCUAAUUGGACUUUAUAAAGGACUAUGGCAUGAUUAAAUUGAGAAUUUUGAAUGAAAUGAAAAGUGUUAGUUUGAGGAAGAAGAUGACAUAUAUGUGUAUCUAUAUGUGAUCUUGUUUUAUGAUGUUGAUUUGUGCUAAUUGGUAACCUAGGAUGUUAGAUCUAUGAUUUGAUCAAUAGGUUAUACAUGAUUAGUGAUAUUUUCAAAAGAUUUAGUUUAAUAAAAACUAGGGUUAUUAAUAAAUCUACGUGCUAAUUGUGUGAAAUCAGUUAAGUAUAUAAUCUUGAGCAUUUAAAGAGUUUGAGAUGAGAUUUUGGUGAAUCUCGUAGGCCUACUGACCUACUGUGAUCGAUGGUUUUUCGAUGUCUAAUAGCUUUGAAAAUUUUAUAGCAAGUCUCUACAUGAGUCUUGAGUACUCUGGUAAAAUUUCAAGUCAUUCCGACUUCGUUUGAUAUUUCUUUAAAAUACAAAACCUGAACUGCACAUUACUACCGACAAUUUCAGAGAACAAGGGAAAGAGUAAUUUAUUUCAGUAUCUUCCUGUGUGAUCUAGCUUUCCAAAUUUUUAUGGUAUUAAACUUAUUGUGUUAUCUAGAUAUUCACCAAAGUUGAGCCCAAUUUGACAACGCUUACUAUUUUUCAAAAAUCCAAGUUUUCGAUUGCUCAAAACUGCCGAAUAUGGUAGAUCGUGGUAAAAACGUCAUAUCUCUCAAACCACUUGGAUUUUUCGAUUCUACUUUUUUUUAUAUGAAACUAGACUCGAAGAUCUUUCUUUCGGUAUGAGUCUCGAGUCCAGGAGAUGUCGGAGUCAGAACAGAUGAAAUUUUGAAGUUGAAUCAGUGUAAAAACAGAGCAUGUUUUAAUGAUGUUUGAUUGUGAUUCUUAUGUGCCUUAUGUGAUUGUGUUGCCUAUGUGUUUGAAUGAGAUUAGACGAGCCUUAUAUGAGAGAUAAAUCAAGACUUAGAACCAUGAUUUUCUUGAAACUAUCCUUGAACUUAAGGAUUUGAGAUGAGUGGAGAGUUUAUAUAGAGUUGAGUAAGGAGAUAGAAUAUGAGAUAGAGCAUGAGUUAAGGCUUUAUGAGUAUGGAUUUUAAAAGGAUGAAAAUGUUUUAAAUUAAUUCCAUUUUAAUGGAGUUUAAAAUGCUUAUUUAAGUCAUUUAUAAAUGAAUAAUGAAAUUUCGUAUUUAUUUACUUACAUGGAAAUGAAAUGUAUAGAAUGUUAUAAGAUGGUGCAUGAUUAUUAUCUCUUAUGUGAACAUGUGAAUUUCUAAAUGAUAUUAAGUUUAAGGAUGUUGAAUUCUUUUAUUUCGUUUGUUAUGUGGUUACAUGAUAUUAUGUGGUUAGUCGAUGUUAUGUUGGUUUUUGAUUGUUUUAAUCGAAACGACUUAUGGAUGCUAGAACCCUAAAACACUAAAAGAUACCCUAAGCACGUAGAAUUAGACCUUGUCUUGUGACAAUUUUCUUCACGAACUUAUCGACUCUUCAUCAAUAAAGGUCCGGGCGACAGGAAGUGAAGCCGAAGAAGAAGCGACUCCACGCUAGCUUAAGAACGUUUGAGGUGGGCAUUACUUUUACUAUACGUAUAUAGAGAUCCCCUGCGUGUCGUAGGCCUCUUAUACGAAUAUAUGCAUGAGAUGAUUUUAACUGUUAAUUUCAGUUUAUUAUUAUGCCCAAAUGAUAAAUGACUCUUAUGAAAUGAAAAUGAAAUGUUUAUGAAAUGAAAUGAAAUGUUUAUGAAAUGAUUGACUGCCAAAAAUGUUUAUGUUUUUAUAUGUAUCCUAUCUGUGUUGGUUCGCCAACUUUAAAGGAAAUCCAAUUGGGAUCCUAUGCUAGACAAAGGUCGCUAGCUAGGGUUAACGUGUACACUCAUGGAGACCGCGAGUCGAUUGCGACCGGUCUUGGCGUCCGUGGUAAGGAGGCCUCCUUCCCGGCGCGUGAUAGAAAGGAACAGAUAUGGAUCAUAUGAAGGAAAAUGGGUCGGCCGGCCAAUCUUAUGAAAAUGAAAGAAAUGUUUUAGUAAGCGCAGGUCUUUCAAGAAAACCCUUGUGUGUUACUGUUAUGGCAGUUCAAUUUAUAUAUAUGUUAUGCAUGAAUGUAUUUUUCGGCAUAUGCCCACUGAGUAUUUUAUAUUCAGCCCUGCAUGUAUUUCUAAAUGUGCAGGUUGAGCAGCUGAUGGAAUGGAAUGGUGUUGAGCGGGUGUUCCUUUUUCAUUUCAAGAAAUGAAACCUUGAGUAUGCAUCUCCAUAUGCAUAACUCACACGUUUUCCGCUACAAACACUCUGACUUAUUUAUCGUUUCUACUUGAACUUAUUACUACUUCAUUUUGACUAACUUUCAUUUGGGGUUUAGUCGUUAUGGCAGGCUCGUUUGUAAAUUACCCAAGCGG
This 3175-nucleotide long non-coding RNA is filed under the name Salvia miltiorrhiza (redroot sage). Its description in RNAcentral is "long non-coding RNA (SMIL_LNC006340)". The record is from RNAcentral. Lineage: Eukaryota; Viridiplantae; Streptophyta; Magnoliopsida; Lamiales; Lamiaceae.